UUAUGUGUGAUUGUUGCAUUCAAGCAUACAUGCGUAUCAUAACAUUCAUCACAGAAAAAUAAAUUUCAAGGAAUGAGGUCUUAUUUGCAAAUAUUUUCAGAACAUGGAUUGUGGACUAAGGAACACUAAGAAGUACAGUUUCAGAUGUCCUGAUUUGAAAGAUCUAAGGAAGUUGUCAUCCUUUGUAUUAGAUCCUUUGGACUUCAAGCAACGUCAUGGGAAGCUUUUGUCUGUGUUAUCUACUGAUAUGGUUGAAGGACUUCUGAG
Molecule: long non-coding RNA, 267 nt
Filed under: Lathyrus oleraceus (garden pea)
Lineage: Eukaryota; Viridiplantae; Streptophyta; Magnoliopsida; Fabales; Fabaceae
Description: Pisum sativum (pea) long non-coding RNA (PSAT_LNC035874)
Source: RNAcentral